RNAcentral lists this transfer RNA (21 nucleotides) under Lepidochelys olivacea (Pacific ridley). RNAcentral's name for it is "partial tRNA-Pro". Lineage: Eukaryota; Metazoa; Chordata; Testudines; Cheloniidae. The record is from RNAcentral.
CAAAGGGUAGUUUAAUUAGAA